UGCCCCUGGGUUCAACCCCCAGUACUACAAAAUAAAUCACAUUUUUAUUUUAUUUUAACGAAUCAAUUAAUUUAUUUGGGUUUUGGGUAUUGAACCCAGGGCUGCUUUACCACUGAGCUACAUUUCUAACCCUUUUUAAUCUUUUAAUUUUGGGACAGGGUCUCUCUAAGUUACGGAUGGUCUUGCUAAGUUGCUGAGGCUGGCCUGGAACUUGCCAUCCUCCCAUCUCGGCCUCCUGACCCGCUCAGGUAUUGCUCACGUAUAUAAACGCUAGGUCUAAAUGUUAGGCACUGCCUGAUAACUGUGGCUCUGAGGAACAAUGAAUAAAUCUAUAAGUUGCAUCUGUUUUAAAGUUGUACUAUACAAGACGAUUGCAUAUGUCAUGUUUAUUGUCACAUCUUCAACUUCAGUGCACCGGGUCCUUGCUGUACCAUAGUGUGGCAGAUCCAGGACAAGUGCUUAUCAGUACAUGGGCACCCAGAGCCAUUAAAAAAAUUGAGAAUAUUUUAAACAGAUGAAAACAUAUGAAUAAUUUAGUGGCAGUCUAAAUAUUCAUUACUCACAGUUAACAAACACGAAACAUUUAAUUUUUGCUUUGGAUCUUUUUCAUUUGCUCUGUUAAAGAAAUAAAACAUUAGAUCCGGUUGAAGUACCCUUGAGAUUGGGGGUUUCUACUCUUAUGUCCCCCAGAUAUAACCACUGGGCUGAAUGAAAUUUGGUGUUUAGCCCAUUCACAUGUGUGCUUUGUAAAGAAAAACAUGCUCGUGUAUUCAUAAAUGUUUGUGUUGUGAAUUAGAUUUUAUAUAAAUGCUAUAUGGUAUGUAUUAUUUUGUAAUUUGCCU
Molecule: long non-coding RNA, 842 nt
Filed under: Marmota monax (woodchuck)
Lineage: Eukaryota; Metazoa; Chordata; Mammalia; Rodentia; Sciuridae
Source: RNAcentral